UACACGUGGCUCCUGCCUGUUCAGCUGCUGGGCUCGCCUUGGCACUUGCUUCCCAGGACUCAGGGUGAAGUUCUUGCCUAGGGGAACCUGGUUUCUUCAGGAACCACCCCAAAGCGAGGGGAAGGCGAGGACAACUCCCUGCAGGUGGCUGACUGCAGAGCGGUGCGGCGGGCUGUGCUACCCAUGCUGUCUCUUGACAAGGUCUGGGCAUUGGGGGAGACUCCCGAGAAGAGGGGAGUUCCUGCACUUCCCAGAAGACCUGAACUAGGGAGUCUCCAUGGCAACGCCUGCUAAUGCUCUCCUGUCUGUUCUUGGUUAAUGCAGAAUGCGAAGGUGGCAUCAACAUCUUGAAGCAGACGGAUGGAGAGACGGAAUGAAGUGUUGGCGGGGGUGAGGUGAACUAUGUGCUGUAUUUCAUUCCUGAGGAGAGGACACCUGCUCCACCCUUCUGCAGAGAACUGUGAGCUUAGACUAUUUCUGCUGCCUGUUCUAGUAAUUGUCUAUUUUUGGGAAACGACCUAAGGAAAUGCUGGAAACACUGAUACAAUCUACGUAUAAAACUGCUGACCAACA
Molecule: long non-coding RNA, 573 nt
Organism: Talpa occidentalis (Iberian mole)
Lineage: Eukaryota; Metazoa; Chordata; Mammalia; Eulipotyphla; Talpidae
Exons: 3
Source: RefSeq, a predicted model, not a curated record